Molecule: transfer RNA, 74 nt
Filed under: Podarcis lilfordi (Lilford's wall lizard)
Lineage: Eukaryota; Metazoa; Chordata; Lepidosauria; Squamata; Lacertidae
Rfam family: tRNA
About the family: Transfer RNA (tRNA) molecules are approximately 80 nucleotides in length.
Source: Rfam by way of RNAcentral
CUCUGGAUAGCUCAGUUGGUUAGAGCGUGGUGCUGAUAACGCCAAGGUCACAGGUUCAAUCCCCAUACGGGACA